This 77-nucleotide transfer RNA is filed under the name Parvimonas micra. RNAcentral describes it as "tRNA-Gln". It matches the Rfam family "tRNA". From Rfam's summary of the family: Transfer RNA (tRNA) molecules are approximately 80 nucleotides in length. The record is from RNAcentral. RNAcentral also lists the same sequence under 6 other names. Lineage: Bacteria; Bacillati; Bacillota; Tissierellia; Tissierellales; Peptoniphilaceae.
UGGGGUAUAGCCAAGUCGGUAAGGCACUAGACUUUGACUCUAGCAUUUCGCAGGUUCGAGUCCUGCUACCCCAGCCA